CUGUGUAGUGAAAGAUCCAGCCAGAACCAAGUCCUGUAAAGCUGGAAGUACAGAGAGAGAGGCCAUCCUGUUCCCUGCCAAGCUGCUAGAUACUCAGAAGGAGAAAGGUGCCAUUGGUGAGACUGAUUCUGUAAUUUCCAGUGUGAUUUCCUCUGAGAGCACCCCGGUGAGUGAGCCACCCAAGGGAGGAUACUGGCAAGGAUACAAGCGUGGGGCCCCAAAACGACUACAGGUCUUGUGUAUUCACCUGCUGCGUGGGAGUGCUGCUGGAUUCCAAAGAGAGAGAUGCUGCACUGCUUAGAUGAAAAGGUUAAUUGAGGACAACUUGCCAUCUCAAGGAACAUCAGCUUAAUGAUGUAGCUGUAAUCAUGAAAUGGUCUAGUAUUGCUGAAAAAAUCAAUACAAAUUGUCUUUGGACUCUAUUGUUUUUAGGUUAAUUGUGGCAGUACUAUACCCUUCAAUCUGUUGAAAGUGAUUGAAAAAACAUGAUAACCUAACACGCAUGUAUGGGAACUGUAACACAAAUAAAACCCCAUGACAUGCUCUCAAAUUAUUUUUUGUGGCUUUUUACGGCAUUGAAGCUUUAUGAGAAGAUUAGUUAGGAGGCAAGGCCGCAAAAUCUAAUAAAACUAAAAAAGUGUGCACCUGACUAUACAAUAAAACUCUCAACAUUGA
Long non-coding RNA from Xenopus laevis (African clawed frog), 675 nucleotides. RefSeq lists it as uncharacterized. The transcript is spliced from 2 exons. The record is from RefSeq and is a predicted model, not a curated record. NCBI's taxonomy places the organism in Eukaryota, Metazoa, Chordata, Amphibia, Anura, Pipidae.